Molecule: long non-coding RNA, 174 nt
Organism: Trichoplusia ni (cabbage looper)
Lineage: Eukaryota; Metazoa; Arthropoda; Insecta; Lepidoptera; Noctuidae
Exons: 3
Source: RefSeq, a predicted model, not a curated record
CAGAGCUAGCGACCUUGAAACCGCCUACUGUGUGCAACUGCCGGGCCUCCCCAAAUCCUUCCACGACUCUCUAUUCUGGGCCUCAUGGCACCAGCCUGCUGCAUUUAUUCAAACUAACCUUGUGGAGCUGCGAUGUACGCGCUGCUUCUCAAUGCCGUCAACUCGGCGACCAGU